Non-coding RNA from Pelodiscus sinensis (Chinese soft-shelled turtle), 1607 nucleotides. The record is from RefSeq and is a predicted model, not a curated record. NCBI's taxonomy places the organism in Eukaryota, Metazoa, Chordata, Testudines, Trionychidae.
UCUGGCAAAGCGACCACAGGAGUAGAGCGUUGCGGGAGGCAGGGGCAGCCAGGGCGUGCAGCCAGCCUGUGGCAUCCGUGUGGGCUGGAACCUUUCUGUGCAGGCAGCAAGAGGCAGCGCCAGCCCGGCAGAGGGAGGCGCUGUGAAAACAUCCAGCAGGCAGGACGAGGGGCGGUUGAAAGCAGAACUGCCAGUUAACUCCAGGAUACUAAGUUCUUGCUGGUGCCCUGGGUUAUGAAAAUUGAGCAUGAAGCGUUGGGCGUGCUCAGAGUGGCAACUGAAUAACAGACGCUGUUCUACUCUGAUCUCUAUAGGCCUCCUACUAGCCUCAUUAUGGUGGUUAUUAUUUCAUUAAAGUAAUAGAUCUUUUGUGUUGGGUUAGAGAACAUGACCUACAAGACUGAGACUGACUCUCCACCCUUCUUAGAUGGCUGACUCGCUCUUAACAAAACGCGCAUCUUCGGAGACCAAAAAACAAAUUGUGCUGCUAGCGCCCAAUCCUGCAAAGUGCAGUGUCCCGGCUACUCCAUCUGACGUCCAUGAGAGUUGUGAGGGCUCAGCAGCUGGCAGGGUCGUUACAGAGAAGACACAGAGUCUGGCUGGUUUGGAACAUAGCACAACACCUUGCUGUGCAUGGGAAUAAUACCACUAUGGUUAAAUGUUGCCAUUUCACCUGAAUGAGAAGUUGUCCACCUAUGCACUACAGUGCCUGUAAUGCUUCUGUACCAGGCACACACUUCAUUUUUUAAACAGAUAGUUUCUCCUAGCUGGAACUGUCAGGCUGGACCGCGCUCCACAGAAAGGGUGCGAACAGCACGAGGCAGCAUCUGCGCAUGCGUAGUCUGGUGGGGGCUACUGCUAAGGAAAACUCUCUGAGCUGGUGUGCCAGGAUGUGCCCAACAUCUGUAAUGGAGCACCCAUGGGGACACACAUCUCGAAGGACAGACAUUACUGCACAGGUAUCAAAGAAAUUAUACUUUUAAAGCUCAACAGGAGGUUAAAAAUGCAACACUGAUUUAUUGAUAUCGUGAUUCUCACCCAAGUUGUUUUGCAACAAACUGCAAGACUUCAUCACUACCAUACUAAAAAAGGUGAGAAAACCACAACAUUAGUUUUCCCUUCUUUUAUCUACAAAGACUUUUCAAGCAAGCUUUCUGCUUCUGAAAUCCUCACUUUGAACAUACAGAAGAGAUCACAGGUCAAAUUGGAUAAUUUCAUCACUUUUUUGCCUUCCUUUUGUGGUGGUGAUUUGUGCGUGGAACAUAUCAAACAUUAUGACAAAAACAUUUGUGUGGAAUACUUAUAAAUAUUUUCAAAUUUAAACCAAUAUCCACCUUCAUCAUACAGUCCAAUUACUGUUGAGGAAAAAGAGGGAUUCUUAAACAUUUCUUUUAGAGGCUCAUUUGUAACCACAGCACAAUGAUUCUGCUGCAGGAGAAAUGUCAUUUCAGGCAGUCAUACAACUGAAUAUUUGAGAGUAUUUGCAAAUUCAGUGUCAUCCAAAUUUGGAUUAGCAAAUUCCAAACUAGCUAAUGGUUUUCUUUAUUCAGAUUAGACAUAACAAAUAUCAGGUACAGCAGUUAGUCUAAAAAAAUACAUUUAAAAAA